AUUGAACGCUGGCGGCAGGCUUAACACAUGCAAGUCGAGCGGGGGAAGGUAGCUUGCUACCGGACCUAGCGGCGGACGGGUGAGUAAUGCUUAGGAAUCUGCCUAUUAGUGGGGGACAACAUCUCGAAAGGGAUGCUAAUACCGCAUACGUCCUACGGGAGAAAGCAGGGGAUCUUCGGAACUUGCGCUAAUAGAUGAGCCUAAGUCGGAUUAGCUAGUUGGUGGGGUAAAGGCCUACCAAGGCGACGAUCUGUAGCGGGUCUGAGAGGAUGAUCCGCCACACUGGGACUGAGACACGGCCCAGACUCCUACGGGAGGCAGCAGUGGGGAAUAUUGGACAAUGGGGGGAACCCUGAUCCAGCCAUGCCGCGUGUGUGAAGAAGGCCUUAUGGUGGUAAAGCACUUUAAGCGAGGAGGAGGCUACUCUAGUUAAUACCUAGGGAUAGUGGACGUUACUCGCAGAAUAAGCACCGGCUAACUCUGUGCCAGCAGCCGCCGUAA
RNAcentral lists this ribosomal RNA (501 nucleotides) under uncultured bacterium. RNAcentral's name for it is "partial 16S ribosomal RNA". It matches the Rfam family "Bacterial small subunit ribosomal RNA", at positions 30 to 523 of the family's 1533-position model. The record is from RNAcentral.